AUUGAACGCUGGCGGCAUGCUUUACACAUGCAAGUCGAACGGUAACAGGCUGCGAUGUGGUGACGAGUGGCGGACGGGAGAGUAAUGCAACGGAACGUGUCCAGGCGGGGGGGAUGGCGACUGGCGAGAUUAGCCAGUACCGGAUACGAGCGAUGGAGGGAGGGGGGGGACGGUAAGGCGCUGCGCGAGUGGAGGGGGCGAUGUCAGAUUAGUUAGUUGGUGGGGUAAAGGCUCACCAAGCCAACGAUCUGUAGCUGGUCUGAGAGGACGACCAGCCACACUGGGACUGAGACACGGCCCAGACUCCUACGGGAGGCAGCAGUGGGGAAUUUUGGACAAUGGGCGCAAGCCUGAUCCAGCAAUGCCGCGUGCAGGAAGAAGGCCUUCGGGUUGUAAACUGCUUUUGUACGGAACGAAACGGCUCUGGUUAAUACCCGGGGCUAAUGACGGUACCGGAAGAAUAAGCACCGGCUAACUACGUG
This 482-nucleotide ribosomal RNA is filed under the name uncultured bacterium. RNAcentral's name for it is "partial 16S ribosomal RNA". It matches the Rfam family "Bacterial small subunit ribosomal RNA", at positions 29 to 507 of the family's 1533-position model. The record is from RNAcentral.